UGGUCCGUCACGUGGGUCCCGGAGAAUAAAGCAGGAGGAGGGAGGAAGUCCUCGAAAUGAGACGGCCAGGGACGGCCAGCAGCUGAUAGGCUGGGUUUUGAGCAGGGAGGAAGAGGAACGCCUUUGACGCCCAGGGCAUGCUGCCCCCUGCAGGAUGCUGCAGCCUGCGGGGUGUACAAGAGGAGAGAACACCCUGGAGAGAGGGCACCGGGCGAGGUGGGCAGUCGGGCAGAGCCAGGAGACCAUGCCCAGGAGAGAAUGGAACUCUGCUGGACAUCCCAGAGCCCUCUUCAAGGCAGAGAGCCCAUUGGCAGGCCCCACG
Molecule: long non-coding RNA, 322 nt
Filed under: Sus scrofa (pig)
Lineage: Eukaryota; Metazoa; Chordata; Mammalia; Artiodactyla; Suidae
Description: lncRNA (ENSSSCG00050037751.1, ENSSSCG00060075566.1)
Source: RNAcentral